AACGAACGCUGGCGGCAGGCCUAACACAUGCAAGUCGAGCGCCCCGCAAGGGGAGCGGCGGACGGGUGAGUAACGCGUGGGAACGUACCCUUUGCUACGGAAUAGCCUCGGGAAACUGGGAGUAAUACCGUAUUUGUCCUUCGGGAGAAAGAUUUAUCGGCAAGGGAUCGGCCCGCGUUGGAUUAGGUAGUUGGUGGGGUAAUGGCCUACCAAGCCGACGAUCCAUAGCUGGUUUGAGAGGAUGAUCAGCCACACUGGGACUGAGACACGGCCCAGACUCCUACGGGAGGCAGCAGUGGGGAAUCUUAGACAAUGGGCGCAAGCCUGAUCUAGCCAUGCCGCGUGAGCGAUGAAGGCCUUAGGGUUGUAAAGCUCUUUCAGGGGGGAAGAUAAUGACUGUACCCCCAGAAGAAGCCCCGGCUAACUCCGUG
Molecule: ribosomal RNA, 431 nt
Filed under: uncultured bacterium
Lineage: Bacteria
Description: partial 16S ribosomal RNA
Rfam family: Bacterial small subunit ribosomal RNA
Source: RNAcentral